UACGAAGGGGGCUAGCGUUGCUCGGAAUCACUGGGCGUAAAGCGCACGUAGGCGGCUUCUUAAGUCAGGGGUGAAAUCCUGGAGCUCAACUCCAGAACUGCCUUUGAUACUGAGGAUCUUGAGUUCGGGAGAGGUGAGUGGAACUGCGAGUGUAGAGGUGAAAUUCGUAGAUAUUCGCAAGAACACCAGUGGCGAAGGGCGGCUCACUGGCCCGAUACUGACGCUGAGGCACGAAAGCGUGGGGAGCAAACAGG
Molecule: ribosomal RNA, 254 nt
Filed under: uncultured bacterium
Lineage: Bacteria
Description: partial 16S ribosomal RNA
Rfam family: Bacterial small subunit ribosomal RNA
Source: RNAcentral